This 483-nucleotide ribosomal RNA is filed under the name uncultured bacterium. Its description in RNAcentral is "partial 16S ribosomal RNA". It matches the Rfam family "Bacterial small subunit ribosomal RNA", at positions 28 to 507 of the family's 1533-position model. The record is from RNAcentral.
GACGAACGCUGGCGGCGUGCUUAACACAUGCAAGUCGAACGCUGAGGCUCAGCUUUUGUUGGGUGGAUGAGUGGCGAACGGGUGAGUAACACGUGAGUAACCUGCCUCCUUCUUUGGGAUAACGCCCGGAAACGGGUGCUAAUACUGGAUAUUCACUGGUCUUCGCAUGGGGGUUGGUGGAAAGGGUUUUUCUGGUGGGGGAUGGGCUCGCGGCCUAUCAGCUUGUUGGUGGGGUGAUGGCCUACCAAGGCUUUGACGGGUAGCCGGCCUGAGAGGGUGACCGGUCACAUUGGGACGGAGAUACGGCCCAGACUCCUACGGGAGGCAGCAGUGGGGAAUAUUGCACAAUGGGCGCAAGCCUGAUGCAGCGACGCCGCGUGAGGGAUGGAGGCCUUCGGGUUGUGAACCUCUUUCGCUCAUGGUCAAGCCGCGACAAUGGUUGUGGUGAGGGUAGUGGGUAAAGAAGCGCCGGCUAACUACGUG